Molecule: transfer RNA, 64 nt
Filed under: Cavia porcellus (domestic guinea pig)
Lineage: Eukaryota; Metazoa; Chordata; Mammalia; Rodentia; Caviidae
Rfam family: tRNA
About the family: Transfer RNA (tRNA) molecules are approximately 80 nucleotides in length. Their secondary structure includes four short double-helical elements and three loops (D, anti-codon, and T loops). Further hydrogen bonds mediate the characteristic L-shaped molecular structure. tRNAs have two regions of fundamental functional importance: the anti-codon, which is responsible for specific mRNA codon recognition, and the 3' end, to which the tRNAs corresponding amino acid is attached (by aminoacyl-tRNA synthetases). tRNAs cope with the degeneracy of the genetic code in two manners: having more than one tRNA (with a specific anti-codon) for a particular amino acid; and 'wobble' base-pairing, i.e. permitting non-standard base-pairing at the 3rd anti-codon position.
Source: Rfam by way of RNAcentral
GGGGAUUUAGCUCAGCGGCAUAAGCGCCUGCCUUGCAAGCGGGGAGUUGUGAGUUCAAUCCCCA